Molecule: non-coding RNA, 18 nt
Filed under: Arabidopsis thaliana (thale cress)
Lineage: Eukaryota; Viridiplantae; Streptophyta; Magnoliopsida; Brassicales; Brassicaceae
Also listed under: 2 other names
Source: RNAcentral
UCUGCCCAGUGCUCUGAA